This is a long non-coding RNA of Etheostoma spectabile (orangethroat darter), 221 nucleotides long. RefSeq lists it as uncharacterized. The record is from RefSeq and is a predicted model, not a curated record. The transcript has 3 exons. Lineage: Eukaryota; Metazoa; Chordata; Actinopteri; Perciformes; Percidae.
CAGGGAUUUGAACUACAACAACCUGGCUGAGUUCCCCACGUCCGUCCGGUCCCUCGCUCACCUGAAGGAACUUGGUUUCCAUAGCAACAACAUCAAGUCCAUCCCGGAGCACGCCUUCACGGGGAACCCCUCCCUCAUCACCAUAUUUUUCUACGACAACCCGAUCCAGUCUGUUGGCCGGUCCGCCUUCCAGAACCUCCCGGAGCUACGAACUCUGUGAA